This is a long non-coding RNA of Gavialis gangeticus (Gharial), 2229 nucleotides long. RefSeq lists it as uncharacterized. The transcript is spliced from 2 exons. The record is from RefSeq and is a predicted model, not a curated record. Lineage: Eukaryota; Metazoa; Chordata; Crocodylia; Gavialidae.
UAGCAGGGAACAUACAGAAGCUCAGCACCUCAAAAGCAUAGUUUAGAAUGAGGUGGCAGAGUCAUGGAGGCCUCUAGUGGUCAGGUUUUCAAAGCAGCAUUAAAGGAAGCAAAUAGAAACAAACCAGCCUGUAGACAGCAGCUCAACAGGGAAAGCCAGGUGUGUAAAAAGGAAUGCAAGAGGAACCAUGAGUCUGGAGGAAAGUGGCAGUAACUGUGGACUGGGAUUAAUUUCUGAUCAGGGUUCCUGCAAAGUUCAGCCCUUAGUUUGAAUGUAAAUUCGGAAGGUAGCUGGAUAAUUCACUACUUGUUCAUUUCCCAGGUUAUUUGGUGAAAUAGCAAGUAUCUUUUUAAAAGCCAGCUAUAGUUGAAGUGGGUGAAAUUAUAAAUCAGGAUUCAAGGAGCAAUACUUUGUUUCAGGAAAUGAAAUGAAAAAUGAAUAAUUUAGUCCCACCUACCUACUGUGCAAAGCGUGUUUAUGAGAUACUGAGCAUCCUGCUUGGCAUUAGUAAGGAAGGAAGACGCUUUAUAUUUCUCUUUUUGUACCUUUAUGGCAUUACUCCUGCAAAUAAUGCUCUGUUUUCCGUGCUGUGAUAAAACACUAAAAAAAGUGAAAAUCAAAACUCUUUUGGUUCUGGCUUUUGUCCAGGUGUAAAAUUCACUUCAACGCAGGAAGGCCCAAAUUACAUCGUCAGCACCACCCAAACCCCACCAACUGGGUUCAAAGUGUUUACUCAGUGGCGUGAAAGGCUUUGCAUUGACUUGGGAAAGUUCAUCCCUAAAUACAAGUUUUUGGGAAGAAGUAUCACAGCGCUUCCCUCUUGCUUUACCUCUCCCCCUGUGCAUUUAAAAAAAGUGCCCGAGCAUAAAAAUUAAAUUUUUUAGCAUGAACUGUACCACUGAAGAUUCAAGUUUGAAGAACAGCUAUUUUCAAAGUUGUAUUUGUACAGUUCCCACAGUGUUACGGGGACACGAGUCAGUCUCCAAUACCACAUUUUUGCAUACGUGAAGGUUAAUCCUUGUAUUAGAGGUUAAAUCAAAGCUGGUUCUUGGAGUGGACACAAUUUCAAGGGUUGUGCAUGCUUCUUGUAAAUGUCUCCUAAAGCUAUGUGCAUGGACACAGCCUUAACCAAAUAGCAUUAAGUGCCAAAAUUCUAACUAGAUAUCCAAUACAAAAAUCAGAUCUUUUAAAGAUCGGUAGCUACACAGCCACUUGAUUUUACUUAGCUCAUUUUCAGAAGAUACCUACAACUCCUUUGCUACUUUUCAAGGUGAUGAUGACUUCACUCAUACUCAGUUUUUUUGGGAAGGCACAUACAGCUUCCCCAAAGCUGCCAUCUGGAAUAAAACACUCCCUUUUAAGCAGGCUUUGUGGGGACAAUGGUACUUUGAACUGCUGUGAUUCUCCACUAUCUAUGGUUGUUUGAAGGAUGAACAGCACUCAGAUCGCACUUUUAUCACCCAGACCAAAGGGUAAUAACCUUAUGGAAAUUAGUUCAGUAUGCAGAUUGCUUGCAGGUAAGCUUAUUGCUCACAAAACACAUUUUGCUAGCUUACCUUAGAAAUGAGAGAUUUCCAAGACUUAAAAUGACAUCCAGUUUCUGUAUUGUUCAGUUAUGUCAGCAUGAAGGCUAUUUUGCACAAAAUAAAAAAAAUUUGCUUAUAUAGGACACUUCUGUUGUGUAACGCCCAUACUAAAAGACACUCGUCUCGGAAAGGUGUUUUAAAUACUCCUCUGCUUUGUGCAAAGCUCAUGUUGACUCAGUCCAGAGCACCACCAAUGCUCUGUUCACAAGGGUCAGCCUGCAGAGAGCUCAACACAAAGUAGUGCAAAACAAUACAUUUUUAUUUGUUCACAGUUAAACACAAGCAACUGCCUUGACAUUUUUAGAACAUUCUAAUAAGGACAGCAAAACCUCCUUUUGGUUUAGGUUCUCUUUAGCUUAGAUUGUACCAUUUUUCCUUGCAUUUCAUAUUUAUGGCAUUUAAUGUGGAUUGUUUAACAUGCUUACAAAGAGCGAGGCAGGGAACAGAUCAACUUUCGACAAAGACAGCAUCUUCAGAUUUAACUAAAAGCAAUCAGUUAAAAAAAAAAUCUGUUUCCACUUCACUGAUGGGAUCCCUUUAACCAAACUGCAAGUUAACUACAUACAGCAGAUCCAUGAUUUUAGAUUUACAAAACAAUGGCAAAAGUUUGUUCCUCCAUAAUCUCUGUGGUCCAUAGAUAAAC